This 68-nucleotide transfer RNA is filed under the name Sphaerodactylus townsendi. Its description in RNAcentral is "tRNA-Ala". It matches the Rfam family "tRNA". From Rfam's summary of the family: Transfer RNA (tRNA) molecules are approximately 80 nucleotides in length. Their secondary structure includes four short double-helical elements and three loops (D, anti-codon, and T loops). Lineage: Eukaryota; Metazoa; Chordata; Lepidosauria; Squamata; Sphaerodactylidae. The record is from RNAcentral.
GCUGUGGCUCAGUGGGAGAGCCUCUGCUUUGCAAGCAGAAGUCCCAGAUUCAAUCCCUCGCAUCACUA